GACGAACGCUGGCGGCGUGCCUAAUACAUGCAAGUAGAACGCUGAAGAGAGGAGCUUGCUCUUCUUGGAUGAGUUGCGAACGGGUGAGUAACGCGUAGGUAACCUGCCUUGUAGCGGGGGAUAACUAUUGGAAACGAUAGCUAAUACCGCAUAACAAUGGAUGACACAUGUCAUUUAUUUGAAAGGGGCAAUUGCUCCACUACAAGAUGGACCUGCGUUGUAUUAGCUAGUAGGUGAGGUAACGGCUCACCUAGGCGACGAUACAUAGCCGACCUGAGAGGGUGAUCGGCCACACUGGGACUGAGACACGGCCCAGACUCCUACGGGAGGCAGCAGUAGGGAAUCUUCGGCAAUGGGGGCAACCCUGACCGAGCAACGCCGCGUGAGUGAAGAAGGUUUUCGGAUCGUAAAGCUCUGUUGUAAGUCAAGAACGAGUGUGAGAGUGGAAAGUUCACACUGUGACGGUAGCUUACCAGAAAGGGACGGCUAACUACGUGCCAGCAGCCGCGGUAAUACGUAGGUCCCGAGCGUUGUCCGGAUUUAUUGGGCGUAAAGCGAGCGCAGGCGGUUUGAUAAGUCUGAAGUUAAAGGCUGUGGCUCAACCAUAGUUCGCUUUGGAAACUGUCAAACUUGAGUGCAGAAGGGGAGAGUGGAAUUCCAUGUGUAGCGGUGAAAUGCGUAGAUAUAUGGAGGAACACCGGUGGCGAAAGCGGCUCUCUGGUCUGUAACUGACGCUGAGGCUCGAAAGCGUGGGGAGCGAACAUG
This 765-nucleotide ribosomal RNA is filed under the name uncultured Streptococcus sp. Its description in RNAcentral is "bacterial SSU rRNA". It matches the Rfam family "Bacterial small subunit ribosomal RNA", at positions 28 to 776 of the family's 1533-position model. Lineage: Bacteria; Bacillati; Bacillota; Bacilli; Lactobacillales; Streptococcaceae. The record is from RNAcentral.